GUAUAUUAGUCCAAAUGCGAGACAUGAAUAAAAUGACUCAUUCAUAUACAGUGCAAUAUGCUAUCACGAUGUUCGGAGAACUGUUACCACGUGUGUUCUUCAGUCUGAAAGAAUCAACGGGAUCGUUUCGCCCAUGGGUGCAAAAAACUAUAAAUACAUUAAUGGAUAAAUUUUCAAAUGUUAUUGUGACAAGCUCAAAAUCAGGAAAACUUAUUACACAGCUGUAUAUGUCAUUUUUGUAGAAAGUUCUAAAACCAUAUGUAAAAAACAAGAAAUUUUUACUUUUAAUAGAUUCCUGGGAGGCCAAAUGAACCCGAU
RNAcentral lists this long non-coding RNA (318 nucleotides) under Androctonus crassicauda. Lineage: Eukaryota; Metazoa; Arthropoda; Arachnida; Scorpiones; Buthidae. The record is from RNAcentral.